AGGACGAACGCUGGCGGCGUGCUUAACACAUGCAAGUCGAACGGUGAAGGAGAGCUUGCUCUCCGGAUCAGUGGCGAACGGGUGAGUAACACGUGAGCAACCUACCCUUGACCCUGGGAUAACAGUUGGAAACAGCUGCUAAUACCGGAUACGACCCUGGCAGGCAUCUGCCGGGGUGAAAGCUCCGACGGUCAAGGAUGGGCUCGCGGCCUAUCAGCUUGUUGGUGAGGUAACGGCUCACCAAGGCGUCGACGGGUA
RNAcentral lists this ribosomal RNA (258 nucleotides) under uncultured soil bacterium. RNAcentral describes it as "partial 16S ribosomal RNA". It matches the Rfam family "Bacterial small subunit ribosomal RNA", at positions 26 to 285 of the family's 1533-position model. The record is from RNAcentral.